Small nuclear RNA from Bubalus bubalis (water buffalo), 109 nucleotides. NCBI's taxonomy places the organism in Eukaryota, Metazoa, Chordata, Mammalia, Artiodactyla, Bovidae. The record is from RefSeq and is a predicted model, not a curated record.
GUGCUUGCUUCAGCAGCACAUAUACUAAAACACUGAAACAAUUCAGAGAAGAUUAGCACAGUCCGUAUGCAAGGAUGAUAUGCAAAUUUGUGAAGUGUUUGGCCACCUG